Molecule: long non-coding RNA, 762 nt
Organism: Colossoma macropomum (tambaqui)
Lineage: Eukaryota; Metazoa; Chordata; Actinopteri; Characiformes; Serrasalmidae
Exons: 3
Source: RefSeq, a predicted model, not a curated record
AUUUAUAGCCAUGUUUAUAACACCUUAUGAAUGUAUUAUAAAAUGUUAUGAAUGUGUGUAUACACGCUUUAAAACAUGACAUUCAUAGAAAGUUUGACCGUAUUACUCAAUAAAAUUUCCUCACUUUGGACCAAUCAGAAUGAAUUUUGUGGCAUUUUCCUCAUCAUACUAAUCAGACAUGAUUUGACUGUUAUUAGAUAUUAAGACCUUCACAUAUGCAGACAUUUUCUAUAUAUAUACCAAUGCAUUAUUAACAGUCUUGGUCCUUUGCCAGGGGUGUAGCAGCAUUUUUGCUCCUGUGAAAAAAUUACAGCUGAUAAUCGAAACACGCUAACUGCAGAGUCAUAAACUCUAACUUUGCUCUUUCACCUGUGCUGACAGCUGCAAUAAGCUCACCUGACUUGCUGUUGAGAAAUCACCAGGUGUUUAUUUUGGCAUGUGUACCUACAUUUCCCCCCCGCAGAAAGAAGUCUGCGGCUGUGUUCCAGUAUCUCCACUCAUGCUAAGCUAGUACAUAGAACUCUCUCUGCCAUUACUAAUGUUGGGUGGUUUACCACAGCAUAACUAAGCUGUUGUCACCUCAUCCCUGAUCACAUAUGAUCCAGAACAGCCACUCCACCAGCACUUUGUGCACUGUCCUUCAGGUCAUCCUCGCUGGCGAACCUUGGGAUAUGUUGGCUGGCGAAGGAUGCACCCCUCGGCCACAUGUGAAGGAGCCUUAGAAAUGGGACAGCCUAGUCGCGCCACUGUGACGCAAUCAGC